This 844-nucleotide ribosomal RNA is filed under the name uncultured Methanomassiliicoccus sp. Its description in RNAcentral is "bacterial SSU rRNA". It matches the Rfam family "Archaeal small subunit ribosomal RNA", at positions 50 to 902 of the family's 1478-position model. Lineage: Archaea; Methanobacteriati; Thermoplasmatota; Thermoplasmata; Methanomassiliicoccales; Methanomassiliicoccaceae. The record is from RNAcentral.
CAUGCGAGUCGAGAGACGUAAGGUCUCGGCAGACCGCUCAGUAACACGUGGAUAACAUGCCCUAAGGUGGGGGAUAAUCUCGGGAAACUGAGGAUAAUACCCCAUAGGUCUAGCAUGCUGGAAUGCUACUAGGCCGAAAACUCCGGUGCCUUAGGAUUGGUCUGCGGUCUAUCAGGCAGUAGUGGGUGUAAUGGACCCACUAGCCCGUGACGGAUAUGGGCCUUGAGAGAGGGAGCCCAGAGAUGGACUCUGAGACACGAGUCCAGGCCCUACGGGGCGCAGCAGGCGCGAAAACUGCACAAUGGGGGAAACCCCGACGAGGGAAUUCCAAGUGCCAGCACUUUGUGUUGGCUGUUCUUCUGUCUAAAAACAGGAGAAGUAAGGGCGGUAAGACGGGUGCCAGCCGCCGCGGUAAUACCCGCGCCCCAAGUGGUGGUCGAUAUUAUUGAGCCUAAAACGUCCGUAGCCGGUCUUCUAAAUCCUUGGGUAAAUCGGGCAGCUCAACUGUCCGAAUUCCGGGGAGACUGGGAGACUUGGGACCGGGAGAGGUCAGAGGUACGUUCUGGGGUAGGGGUAAAAUCCUGUAAUCCUCGGGGGACCACCGGUGGCGAAGGCGUCUGACUAGAACGGAUCCGACGGUGAGGGACGAAGCCCUGGGGCGCAAACGGGAUUAGAUACCCCGGUAGUCCAGGGUGUAAACGCUGCGGGCUUGGUGUUGGGGGUCCUUAGUGGGCGCCCAGUGCCGGAGAGAAGUUGUUAAGCCUGCUGCUUGGGGAGUAUGUCCGCAAGGAUGAAACUUAAAGGAAUUGGCGGGGGAGCACCGCAACGGGAGGAGCGUGCGGUU